CCUACGGGUGGCAGCAGUAGGGAAUAUUGCUCAAUGGGGGAAACCCUGAAGCAGCAACGCCGCGUGGAGGAUGAAGGUUUUCGGAUUGUAAACUCCUUUUGUUAGAGAAGAUAAUGACGGUAUCUAACGAAUAAGCAACGGCUAAUACCGUGACAGCAGCCGCGGUAAUACGGAGGGUGCAAGCGUGACUCGGAAUCACUGGGCGUAAAGAGCGCGUAGGCGGGAUAGCAAGUCAGUUGUGAAAUCCUAUGGCUUAACCAUAGAACUGCAUUUGAAACUGUUAUUCUAGAGUACGGGAGAGGUAGGUGGAAUUCUUGGUGUAGCGGUAAAAUGCGUAGAGAUCAAGAGGAAUACUCAUUGCGAAGGCAGCAUACCAGCGCUCAACUGACGCUGAUGCACGAAAGUGUGGGUAUCGAACAGGAUUAGAUACCCCUGUAGUC
This 440-nucleotide ribosomal RNA is filed under the name uncultured bacterium. Its description in RNAcentral is "partial 16S ribosomal RNA". It matches the Rfam family "Bacterial small subunit ribosomal RNA", at positions 338 to 795 of the family's 1533-position model. The record is from RNAcentral.